UACGGGGGGGGCAAGCGUUGUUCGGAAUUACUGGGCGUAAAGGGCGCGUAGGCGGGUGGACAAGUCUCUCGUGAAACCCCACGGCUCAACCGUGGAAUUGCGGGAGAUACUGUCUGUCUUGAGUCCGGGAGAGGAGGGUGGAAUUCCCAGUGUAGCGGUGAAAUGCGUAGAUAUUGGGAGGAACCCCGGUGGCGAAGGCGGCUCUCUGGACCGGUACUGAAGCUGAGGCGCGAAAGCUAGGGGAGCAAACGGG
Molecule: ribosomal RNA, 253 nt
Filed under: uncultured bacterium
Lineage: Bacteria
Description: partial 16S ribosomal RNA
Rfam family: Bacterial small subunit ribosomal RNA
Source: RNAcentral